GAAAUGCGAUAAGUAAUGUGAAUUGCAGAAUUCAGUGAAUCAUCGAAUCUUUGAACGCACAUUGCGCCCGCCAGUAUUCUGGCGGGCAUGCCUGUUCGAGCGUCAUUACAACCCUCAGGCCCCCGGGCCUGGCGUUGGGGAUCGGCGGAAGCCCCCUGCGGGCACAACGCCGUCCCCCAAAUACAGUGGCGGUCCCGCCGCAUCUUCCAUUGCGUAGUAGCUAACACCUCGCAACUGGAGAGCGGCGCGGCCACGCCGUAAAACACCCAACUUCUGAAUGUUGACCUCGAAUCAGGUAGGAAUACCCGCUGAACUUAAGC
RNAcentral lists this unclassified non-coding RNA (320 nucleotides) under plant metagenome. RNAcentral describes it as "partial contains 5.8S ribosomal RNA, internal transcribed spacer 2, and large subunit ribosomal RNA". The stretch from base 1 to 105 matches the Rfam family "5.8S ribosomal RNA", at positions 50 to 154 of the family's 154-position model. The record is from RNAcentral.